AAAGUUUUUCCAGGUGUGAUUGCUUUAGUUAGAGAAGGCACUGGUAUGACAUGAGAAAUUAUUUCUAUAACACUUGAUCUUGGGUCUGCAGCACUUGCUAAUAGAGAUGCAGCCAAAACAAAGCCUAUACUGAGUGUAACAUACUCUGCAGAUCAACACCCGUCUUUUAAUGUGAGGUCCGUACUAUAUAUCCAGUGCAAUUUAUUUACUAUUCUCGGAUUCUGAAUGUAUAUAUAGUUCAAUUUCAUGAGUUUAACCUUUCAAUUUAUUGUUUUCUGCAUAUGAUUUUAACAUCUCCCGUUUUCUCUAAAAAAAUAUAUUCAGUUUGAGUUUCAGUACUGCUUAUUAUGUGCAUUAUAGUCUCACAAUUCUGAAUUUAAUCUUUUUAAUUGAGUAGCAUCAUAUUUUUUGAUUGUGACCUCAUGCUUAAAUAAUUAAAUUUGGCAGGUUGCAGAAAUUCGAGUUUACUAUCUCUGAGAAUUAGUAUAUAUUCUGUGGGGUUCACCGAAUUCUUCUUCUCUUCCUGGAAUUUGCGGCUUACAUUGCUAAUAUUUGAUCCUCGAUAGCAAUGCUAUUUUCCUUCCAUGUUGGUCAUGCCCAAAAAAACAUAGUGGUGAGUACUUGAUCCUCCAUUAAUCACAUAUGUCCUUAAUGAAAUUGAAUGCAGUUUUUGUAUGCUCAAGAGUGAGUCUACACCAAUCUAGCAUGCUCGAGUCAGGGUGAUCACCAACAGUGCGAUGGACAAAACUAUCUUGCAUGUUAAUUCACUUUUGAAUUUUUUAUGGGAUUUAUGAUUAACUUAUCCUUAUUCCAUUGAACAAUUUUCAAACCAUAUUAAAAUGUCAGUUAACAGGUUCAUUUUGCAUUCGUUGGAAUCAUGGUAUCAUUUUAGGACAGAUUUAUGUUCUGUCAUACUAUAUGUAGGCAAUUGCUAUGAUUCUUUUUAAGUCAAAAGUAUUGGUGCCGAGCUAGAACAAAAUACGUACAUUAUAUUCUAUGAUAUUUUAUUCCCUUCUUAGAGUCAAGUACAUGUCAUUUGGAGAGCAUACAUUGUUUAUAUAUUGUAUCUAUAUAGAACUAGUUCUUUGGAUAUGUGACUAAACUUGGUGGAGACUUGAUCCUGGUUUGUACUUUUUUACCCAGGAUAAUAAACCUCUAUUGUUGUUGUGCAGUUGCAGGGGAAUCAUAUAUCGGCAUAAUAAAUUAUCCCAAAUGUUAUUGCACACGUAAUCUUACAUUAGUGUUUCCUUGAUAUCUCCUUUUUU
RNAcentral lists this long non-coding RNA (1265 nucleotides) under Hordeum vulgare. RNAcentral describes it as "long non-coding RNA (HVUL_LNC017779)". The record is from RNAcentral. Lineage: Eukaryota; Viridiplantae; Streptophyta; Magnoliopsida; Poales; Poaceae.